UAUAACCGCUAGGGGUGCUUGAGGGCUGAGAGGCAAUUGGGUGCCGACCCUGUGGACCUGACCUCGGUAAUGCGAGCGUAGGGAAGCGGCAGUAGCUUGAA
Molecule: non-coding RNA, 101 nt
Filed under: Dehalococcoidia bacterium
Lineage: Bacteria; Bacillati; Chloroflexota; Dehalococcoidia
Description: TPP sequence
Rfam family: TPP riboswitch aptamer (THI element)
About the family: Vitamin B(1) in its active form thiamin pyrophosphate (TPP) is an essential coenzyme that is synthesised by coupling of pyrimidine and thiazole moieties in bacteria. The previously detected thiamin-regulatory element, thi box was extended, resulting in a new, highly conserved RNA secondary structure, the THI element, which is widely distributed in eubacteria and also occurs in some archaea.
Source: RNAcentral